CGAGAAAGACUGGAGAAAUCUGGUCGAGUAAAGUGGCGCACGGGUGAGUAACACGUGAGAAACAUUCCCCUAUGUCUGGGAUAAGCCUGCGAAAGCGGGUCUAAUACCGGAUACAGCCACCUGGAGGCAUCUUCGGGUGAUUAAAGACGGUUGAGUCUAUGCCGUCGCAGAGGGAUUGUCUCGCGCUCCAUUAGCUUGAUGGCAGGGUAAUGGCCUACCAUGGCGACGAUGGAUAGCCGACCUGAGAGGGUGUCCGGCCACACUGGAACUGAGAUACGGUCCAGACUCCUACGGGAGGCAGCAGUAGGGAAUAUUGCGCAAUGGGCGAAAGCCUGACGCAGCGACGCCGCGUGGAUGAUGAAGCAUCUUGGUGUGUAAAAUCCUUUCAGCGGGGACGAAACGUCGGAUGAGGAAAUGCUUCCGGCCUGACGGUACCCGCAGAAGAAGUUCCGGCUAACUCCGUGCCAGCAGCCGCGGUAAUACGGGGGGAACGAGCGUUGUUCGGAUUUACUGGGUGUAAAGGGCACGCAGGCGGGAAGACAAGUCCGAUGUGCAAACCCGGGGCUUAACCGCGGGCCUGCAUUGGAAACUGUUUUUCUUGAGUACGAGAGAGGAUGGCGGAAUUCCUGGUGUAGCGGUGAAAUGCGUAGAUAUCAGGAAGAACACCGGUGGCGAAGGCGGCCAUCUGGCUCGAUACUGACGCUCAGGUGCGAAGGCUAGGGGAGCAAACAGGAUUAGAUACCCUGGUAGUCCUAGCGGUAAACCAUGGAUACUAGGUGUUGGAGGUAUCGACCCCUCCAG
This 801-nucleotide ribosomal RNA is filed under the name uncultured bacterium. RNAcentral's name for it is "bacterial SSU rRNA". It matches the Rfam family "Bacterial small subunit ribosomal RNA", at positions 67 to 843 of the family's 1533-position model. The record is from RNAcentral.